Long non-coding RNA from Brassica napus (rape), 1495 nucleotides. RefSeq lists it as uncharacterized. The transcript has 5 exons. The record is from RefSeq and is a predicted model, not a curated record. Lineage: Eukaryota; Viridiplantae; Streptophyta; Magnoliopsida; Brassicales; Brassicaceae.
AGCCAGCCCAAUAGGAAUCAACCCUAACGUUUAGGUUUAAGCGUCACCUUCCAUCCGACGUCGUACGAAUCCUUCUCAAUCAAGGAUCCCUCAAUCAAGGAUCCCUCAAUCAAGAACCAUAGCCAUUAAUGGAGUUUCAGGAAGAUGUUCGAGAUGUAUCUCCCUGAUGAAUCUCUGGAUCAAUUUUUUUUUUUAAUUAGUUUCUGGAUCUAGCUUCGCUCGCGUCCGUUCGUCUAAGAUUCUUCUCUCAGAAUCUCUCUUAUGGGUUUUUGUUUUCUUCUUACACCUUCAUUUGAUCGACCCAUGUGUAGUUCGCAGGAAUCCAGGAUCGUAGCUAUAUCGGUUCACAUGAUCCAUCAAGAUCCAAACUGUUCAUAUUCAUUGGUACAUCCAAUUGCUUCCCACAAAGGAAGGAGCAAGAAAGACAAGAAGACGACAAUAAACCAAAAUCGAGACUACUGUAUGUUUAGAUAAGCACUGGAUAUUGAAGAAGAAGCGUGAUAUGGAGGACUCCGGAAGGCAUGAAACCAUCUGUACUUUCUUACGGAUUUUACUUUCUUUUUCCUCUCAUCUGUAGUCCAGAAGGUGUGGAGAGUUGAUGGGGGUGGAUCUGAUAAUGGUCGAUCAAAAGUCAACAAAGCAACAUAGCUUCUGUUCAGGCUCCGAGACACUGAAACCGUCGUCAUGUACCCUAUGGCAGUCACAACCCUUCUGUAUUCAGAUCCGUGAUCAAUUUGAUGGGAUCUUGAAUGAUGAUUCAUGAAGAUUACAUGUUGACUUCCAAUAUUUUUUUUUAAUUGGUAAUUAUUGUGAAAACCUUUGGUGGAAACAUGAAAUUAUGAACUUUGUUGUCUUCUAUUAGCUCUUUCACUCACACUCUAUACCAUCCCAUAAAUGAUGAGAUGAUGUGUGUGUGUAUGCCCCUCUGUUCAUGAAGAUAUACAUUUCUGAUUUCAUGUAUUUGUUUUUAGGAUUGGUAACAUUUAGAUUGCUCUAAUUACUAUGAAAACCACUGUUGGGAACAUGAAAGUAUAAAUUUUUGUUGUGUUCUAUUAGCUCUUUGACUGUACUUUUCAGGUGCAAUAGUUUUGUGCUCUCAGUGUGGAGAAGCAGAUACUCUUAUCGCUCAAAUCUACUAAAUUUUUUCCUACUAUAAAGUUAAAUAGUAUUUCCAGGUGGUGGUGAUCACGGUGGCAGAGGAGGGGUUGCAGUGGUGGUGGUCAUGAAGAGCAUAUCGGGCAUGGAGAAGCAGAAGAUGGCGAGGGACCGGAGAAGAUGUGGAAUGGUUCGUCGACCAGUGACAUGGAGCGGAUGGAUCUGGGACUAUUCUAAUGAUCACCACUAUUCUAUUUAACUAGGAUUGUUUUCAUACGUAAGUUGUUGUUUAUCAUAGUUUUAAGAAUGUUUGUCUGUGUUUAAGAUUUAAGAUUACACUUUUUGGUUUUAACCUUGUCACAAACUCAGUCCAAAACAUGGAGAAUUCUUUUUUACCAAA